Molecule: ribosomal RNA, 409 nt
Filed under: Anaplasma marginale
Lineage: Bacteria; Pseudomonadati; Pseudomonadota; Alphaproteobacteria; Rickettsiales; Anaplasmataceae
Description: bacterial SSU rRNA
Rfam family: Bacterial small subunit ribosomal RNA
Source: RNAcentral
UGGCUCAGAACGAACGCUGGCGGCAAGCUUAACACAUGCAAGUCGAACGGACCGUAUACGCAGCUUGCUGCGUGUAUGGUUAGUGGCAGACGGGUGAGUAAUGCAUAGGAAUCUACCUAGUAGUAUGGGAUAGCCACUAGAAAUGGUGGGUAAUACUGUAUAAUCCCUGCGGGGGAAAGAUUUAUCGCUAUUAGAUGAGCCUAUGUCAGAUUAGCUAGUUGGUGGGGUAAUGGCCUACCAAGGCGGUGAUCUGUAGCUGGUCUGAGAGGAUGAUCAGCCACACUGGAACUGAGACACGGUCCAGACUCCUACGGGAGGCAGCAGUGGGGAAUAUUGGACAAUGGGCGCAAGCCUGAUCCAGCUAUGCCGCGUGAGUGAGGAAGGCCUUAGGGUUGUAAAACUCUUCAGU